This 773-nucleotide ribosomal RNA is filed under the name Holcoglossum nujiangense. RNAcentral describes it as "eukaryotic LSU rRNA". The stretch from base 292 to 447 matches the Rfam family "5.8S ribosomal RNA". Lineage: Eukaryota; Viridiplantae; Streptophyta; Magnoliopsida; Asparagales; Orchidaceae. The record is from RNAcentral.
GGAAGGAGAAGUCGUAACAAGGUUUCCGUAGGUGAACCUGCGGAAGGAUCAUUGUCGAGACCGAAACUAUAUCGAGCGAUUCGGAGAACCUGUGAAGUAAGCGGCGGCGGCAGUCGCCGCGAAACAGCCGUCCCCGCCGUCGCCCCCCCUUGUCUGGAGGGGGCCGCGACGGGGGACGGCUGAAACCCCAAACCGGCGCAGAUUGGCGCCAAGGUAACUAUCGAAAAGCACGAGCCCGGCAUCGGGUCCUCGUGGGGCGGAGCGGUGUUAGCGCACCGCACGUAUUGACACGACUCUCGACAAUGGAUAUCUCGGCUCUCGCAUCGAUGAAGAGCGCAGCGAAAUGCGAUACGUGGUGCGAAUUGCAGAAUCCCGCGAACCAUCGAGUCUUUGAACGCAAGUUGCGCCCGAGGCCAAUCGGUCGAGGGCACGUCCGCCUGGGCGUCAACCGCCGCGUCGCUCCCUGCCAAGUCCCCACCGUUCCCACCGCAGUGGGGGUGCCGGGCGAGGCUCGGAUGUGCAGAGUGGCCCGUCGUGCCCAUCGGUGCGGCGGGCUGAAGAGCGGGUUAUCUUCUCAUUGGCCACGAACAACGAGGGGUGGAUGGAAGCUGCCGCGGGCGAGGCCCGCGUUGUCUCGUGCCGGCCCGAGUGAAGAUUACACCCUCCGUGCGAUCCCAUCCCACGCGCCGCCCCCGUGCGGCGGCUUGGAAUGCGACCCCAGGAUGGGCGAGACCACCCGCCGAGUUUAAGCAUAUCAAUAAGCGGAGGAAAAG